Molecule: long non-coding RNA, 1035 nt
Organism: Astyanax mexicanus (Mexican tetra)
Lineage: Eukaryota; Metazoa; Chordata; Actinopteri; Characiformes; Acestrorhamphidae
Exons: 5
Source: RefSeq, a predicted model, not a curated record
UGGAAUAAACGGAGGAGGGAGAAAGAAGGAGAGACACAGAGACACAGAAAGUGGCAAGGAGCCGAGGCCCCCUACUGGUAGAGGUGUCUCUGGCGGGAGGCAGCGGGCCUGGUCUAGCGUGACUGACAGGAGGGGCUCCAGACACUGGAAGUGCAUGAGAAACAACGAGUCCACAGGAAAGCCUUAAGGCUUUGUAGAGGAACCACCACUGUCAAGAGGAAUAGAGCUGUGCUCCAGCUGGACCAGGAAUACAACCUGAGAGACAGAGAGAACAGAGCCGACCGGUUCUCCAACACUGUAGACUCCUCCACUGUCAGAAACAAAUCGGUGCAUCAUGGUCCUCCACAUUCCCUGGCAACUGCAGGCUUUGUCGUCAGCCCACAGCCCACAUCUGGACCCUCACAGUAAGGCAGAGGGAAUGCCAACACCCUAGGCAAAUGGGCAGGACCAGACUGGUGAUGGGGGUGUGAGGGAAAAUAACAAAACACCGACUUUUAAAAGCAGCAAGGCAGCCCAACUGGGUCCUAAAAUGUUUUGUCCAUCAGGGUCUGUGGUGGCACCAGGAGGAGUUAAACGUGGGACCCCUCUGGGUUGUACACUGCACACCAAUGUGAGAUUUAGGUGUCCAAACUGGGUCUCAGAAACAAUACGCAUACAAAUGCAGCGAGACCCACGUUCAACUGGAACCCACCUAACCCAUAUUUUAACCGUGAACCUGAAUGUUGGCUAGGUUAAUAGCACUUAGAAGCCAGUGUUUGGUUAAAAAGGUGAAAGGUGAUGCAGAAUUAAUGCAGAAUUAAGUCUCCUAGUAGAUGUUUAGCUGCAGCUUUCAUUUAUAUGCAAGCUAUAACCCAGUUACCUGUUGCUAAAAUCAGGACUUCCUAACCCAGUGUCCUCCCGCCCAGUCCAUGUCGGGCCAUUUCCUCCUGCCGCAGACACUCACACACACACACACACAGGCGGGUGAACCGGCUGCGGAUUCCUAAAAAAAAUGGUCUAAUAAUGCCUCUAAUAAAGUUGUGUUUCUAAAACUCA